Dermochelys coriacea (leatherback sea turtle) is the source of this 754-nucleotide long non-coding RNA. RefSeq lists it as uncharacterized. The transcript has 2 exons. Lineage: Eukaryota; Metazoa; Chordata; Testudines; Dermochelyidae. The record is from RefSeq and is a predicted model, not a curated record.
UACACACCUCCUUGGCAGUGCAGGAUUUCAAUCACAGCAGCUAGUAAUCCCAGAGCCGUACGUCUCCCUGCCAGCACUCCAGCUCCCGCCAUAUCGCCCGAGCCCCAGCACAGAAGGAGACAGAUGGGAGGGAGUUUUCAAGUGUGCGGCAAUUCAGAUAAAGCAUGAGGUGAGUGUCUGCAGGAGAUAUCUUACACACACGCACAACAAGCCCUCCCCCGGGGACCGGCUGGCUCUUGUGUGUGCUAUGCCGUCUGCUAGGUGCCUCAUGACUCCUGUCUUGGAGAUGCCGAGAACCAAGAAGGCUGCUGGAGCCUGAAGCGCUUUCUGGAGGCAGAUGGCGCAUACAGGCCUAAAGGUCGUAGAUUGGCCCUCGAGUCCUUCAGUCCAUCAAUUCUCGUGUCCAUCUGCUCCAAGAAGAGGGAGGAGCCUUCAAAUGGGAGGUCCCUGGAUGGACUCUUGGACCUUGUGGGGAAGGCCAGAUGAUUGGAGCCAGGAACUGUGCCUCAUGGAGACCACAGAGGCCAUUGUCCAGGCCGCCAAGUCAGCAACCUCCAGAGCUGCCUGGAGAGAAUCCUAGCCAAUUUUUACCCCUCUUCUAAGAGCACUGUGAACUCCUGUCUCGACUCUUGGGGCAGGGAGUCUUUCAAUUUAUUCAGGGAGGCCAUAGAAUAAAAUCACAUCUCCCCAGCAGAGCCUGCUGAUUGGCAACACACAGUUGGAGGCUACCCCGGAAUAAACCUUUCUUCCAAAG